Molecule: ribosomal RNA, 466 nt
Filed under: uncultured bacterium
Lineage: Bacteria
Description: partial 16S ribosomal RNA
Rfam family: Bacterial small subunit ribosomal RNA
Source: RNAcentral
GAUGAACGCUGGCGGCGUGCUUAACACAUGCAAGUCGAACGAUGAAGCCCAGCUUGCUGGGUGGAUUAGUGGCGAACGGGUGAGUAACACGUGAGUAACCUGCCCUUAACUCUGGGAUAAGCCUGGGAAACUGGGUCUAAUACCGGAUAGGAGCGUCCACCGCAUGGUGGGUGUUGGAAAGAUUUAUCGGUUUUGGAUGGACUCGCGGCCUAUCAGCUUGUUGGUGAGGUAAUGGCUCACCAAGGCGACGACGGGUAGCCGGCCCGAGAGGGUGACCGGCCACACUGGGACUGAGACACGGCCCAGACUCCUACGGGAGGCAGCAGUGGGGAAUAUUGCACAAUGGGCGCAAGCCUGAUGCAGCGACGCCGCGUGAGGGAUGACGGCCUUCGGGUUGUAAACCUCUUUCAGUAGGGAAGAAGCGAAAGUGACGGUACCUGCAGAAGAAGCACCGGCUAACUACGUG